Molecule: long non-coding RNA, 441 nt
Organism: Globicephala melas (long-finned pilot whale)
Lineage: Eukaryota; Metazoa; Chordata; Mammalia; Artiodactyla; Delphinidae
Source: RefSeq, a predicted model, not a curated record
CAGCUUGGCUUCUACGAGUCAGACUAAUUUGGAUUCCAGUCCUGCUUCACCUGCUGACCACAGGGGGCUGGAAGUUAACCAUUGAGUACUAAAGACGUGAUGGAAGCAGCAUGGAUCCCCAAGGCAUCACUUUAAGGGGAGCUACCCAAACAAUGAGCGCUUCUCUAAUCAGUGAACACAUGGAACUGCCAUUCAUGCACAGAGACAGGGAAAUCAGCCUGGCAGCCCCGACAAUGGUUUGCACAAGCUGGCACAAGACUACAGGACUCAUGAAUAGCAGGCACAUUUGGAAGGCGGAGAAUCACAACAGAUUCCAGUUCUGGGAUUAAAGGGUUCAUGACUUGUGGCCAAGUGGAAGAUGCUGAGGAACAACCUUUUGACAGAAAACACUCAUUUUUAUACAAAUACUGCCAUAAAGUGCUCACUCAUUCUAGUAUGGAG